CACACCUGGAGAGAGACACACAUACCUUGACAGACACGCACACACCUUGACAGACGCGCACAUACCAUGAGAGUCACACACAUACCGUGACAGACACACACCCAUCAUGACACACAGACACACACCAUGACAGACAGAAACACAUACACUCACACUAACAGACUGACACAUAAUAUAGCUACCUGUAGGCAACUGGCCAGGGAGUCGUGCAUGACAGACAG
Pelobates cultripes (western spadefoot toad) is the source of this 221-nucleotide non-coding RNA. Lineage: Eukaryota; Metazoa; Chordata; Amphibia; Anura; Pelobatidae. The record is from the annotation of a GenBank genome assembly.